Long non-coding RNA from Rosa chinensis, 1232 nucleotides. RefSeq lists it as uncharacterized. The transcript has 2 exons. The record is from RefSeq and is a predicted model, not a curated record. NCBI's taxonomy places the organism in Eukaryota, Viridiplantae, Streptophyta, Magnoliopsida, Rosales, Rosaceae.
AAGAAUGACAAUGUGGUCAAAAUUUCUCUCUCUGUCAGAGGCCCGUGCGGUGGCGGAUCCCUCCUUUCAGGCAAAGGUGCAACUCGCUGUGAAAGCCGCAACUUGUGCAUCUUUUGCCUACUUCUUUUGUGGGACGGUCCCGUUGAUCGUACGCGUCGUCAAAACGGAAAGGGAGAUCACCAAGUCCGGGCCAGCCUAUUAUUUGAAAUGGAAACUGAGUGAAGAGGAGGAAACUGAGGGAAGAGAAACAGAGGCCUUAAGCAUCCAAGUGAAUUUUAUUUUGCUGCUUAUAUAACCUUUAAUUUAAGGGUGCCCUUAAUCUAAUGUAAUAUGUGAGUAAACUGGGGUAUUGCCUUCCAGUUCAGAGCGUCAUGCUUCUUUUCUUGAUUGGGUGACUUACUGUAUCCAGGUUCUUUCACAUGACCUGUUUGAUUUUUUACUCUACCUUAUUUGGGUGGUCUGGAAAGAAAGAAAUCAGAGAGUGUGGGAGUCUAGGGCCUUUUCUCUACACCACGUCUACUUCCAAGCUUUUUCUAGUUUCUCCUUGUUUGUAUCUCUUCAACCAUUGAAGGGUUUCAAAGGUCAGCGUGCAGCAGUUGCUUGGGUACCUCCUCCUGCGGGGUGGAUCAAAGUGAACCUUGAUUGAGCCUUUGAUGAUAGGGCGAAGAAGGGAAGUGUUGGGAUAAUUGUUCGUGACCCGGAUGGGUCUGUUGUAGGGGUUCAUGCUUUAGCGUUGAUGUAGUGUACUCCCCCGACAUUGUGGAAGCACUUGCAGGCAGAGCAGCGUGUGCAUGGGCAUUAGAGUUUAAUCAAUCGCCUGUUAUUUUUGAGAGUGACUGUCUCUCUUUGGUCAAUUCUAUAAACUCAGGUGAUGAAGAUACAUCCCAUUUAGGAAGGGUGAUUGAGGAUAUUCAGGCUCAACUUUGUGGCCUACCGGGUUCCUUCUUUCAACAUGCUUACCGUGAAUCUAACACGGCUGCACAUAGAAUGGCUAAGCAAGCCAUGUUGUCAGGUUUAUUUGCUCACUGGCAGGGAGCUAUUCCUCCAGAUUUGGGAAGUCUUGUUGCUUCCUAUUGUAACAUUUGAACUCUCUGAGUAAUAAAACUUCUUUCGUCCUGCUCUCAAAAAAAAUGUAAUAUGUGAGUAGUUGUAAUUGUUCACGUUUGUAUGUUAACUGUCUAAUGUAAUAUGCGAGUAGUUGUAAUUAUUCGUAUGUAACCGUAUGUCUUUAA